UACGUAGGCGGCCUUGUAAGCAUCUCGUGAAAUCCCACGGCUCAACCAUGGAAUUGCGGGGUGAACUGCAAGGCUUGAGGCAGGUAGAGGUCAUCGGAACGAUCGGUGGAGCGGUGAAAUGCGUUGAUAUCGAUCGGAACGCCGAAGGAGAAGUCAGGUGACUGGGCCUGUCCUGACGCUGAGGUACGAAAGCGUGGGUAGCGAACAGGAUUAGAUACCCUGGUAGUCC
Molecule: ribosomal RNA, 229 nt
Filed under: uncultured bacterium
Lineage: Bacteria
Description: partial 16S ribosomal RNA
Rfam family: Bacterial small subunit ribosomal RNA
Source: RNAcentral